GGAAAACAGCAUCCAAGAUGGAGCUGUACAGAGGGAAGGGAGCAGCUGACACCUCCACACCGUCUCCCAUUAAAUACCAGCUCAUUUAAACAUAUCCCGUGGUGCCCUCCACAUCUGGGUUGAACUACAGCUGCCUGGUGUCGGCUUGCUGAAAGGACUGGACUGUAGCUGUUGGUUCGCGCCUGGUGUCUGCCUGCCUAGAGGACUGGUCUGCAGCUGCUGAAUCAUAUUUGAUGUUUGCUAUGGGACUGAGCUGCUGCCCAAGAAGAUCAAGCUGAACAGAAACUGGGAACAGAAGACCGGAGCUUGCAAGUUGGCGAUGAGCACAGCCCAGCAUCUUACCAGCCGGUGGUAUCUCUACACCAUUGCCCUUUGGCCACAAAAAGAAAACCUGAGUCUGUGACUACUUGUCUUUUAGAUGCUUUGAGGCAGAGUGACCAUGGUGACCUUCAGUGGCCGUGGGUCCUCUUCUAGGCACCGUUUGUCGUGCCGGGUUCCCAAGCAUGGAAACCUACUGGAGACCUUAGUCUGGAUGCACAGCGGAUGUGGGGGACACAUUAGCUCUCCCAUUUCCAUUCUCAUCAUUAAUGUUUAAUUGCACAACACCAGAGGCAGGCUAUGUACCUAGCACCGAAACCUUGUCACCUCUAUUAAUUAAAACAGGCUUAUGGAAUAUGAAA
Molecule: long non-coding RNA, 680 nt
Filed under: Mus spretus (western wild mouse)
Lineage: Eukaryota; Metazoa; Chordata; Mammalia; Rodentia; Muridae
Description: lncRNA (ENSMSPG00010041588.1)
Source: RNAcentral